Molecule: ribosomal RNA, 436 nt
Filed under: uncultured bacterium
Lineage: Bacteria
Description: partial 16S ribosomal RNA
Rfam family: Bacterial small subunit ribosomal RNA
Source: RNAcentral
ACGGGAGGCAGCAGUGGGGAAUAUUGGGCAAUGGGGGGAACCCUGACCCAGCAACGCCGCGUGAGGGAAGAAGGUUUUCGGAUCGUAAACCUCUGUCCUCGGGGAAGAGUGAGAGACGGUACCCGGGGAGGAAGCCCCGGCUAACUACGUGCCAGCAGCCGCGGUAAUACGUAGGGGGCGAGCGUUGUCCGGAAUGAUUGGGCGUAAAGGGCGCGUAGGCGGUUUCUUAAGUCUGGAGUGAAAGUCCCGGCUUUAAGUUGGGAAUGGCUUUGGAUACUGGGGGGCUAGAGUGCAGGAGAGGUAAGUGGAAUUCCCAGUGUAGCGGUGAAAUGCGUAGAGAUUGGGAGGAACACCAGUGGCGAAGGCGACUUACUGGACUGUAACUGACGCUGAGGCGCGAAAGUGUGGGGAGCAAACAGGAUUAGAUACCCUGGUA